GGGGCUGUAGCUCAGCUGGGAGAGCGCUGCCUUUGCAAGGCAGAAGUCGCGGGUUCGAGUCCCGCCAGCUCCACCA
RNAcentral lists this transfer RNA (76 nucleotides) under Chloroflexota bacterium. RNAcentral's name for it is "Chloroflexi bacterium (marine sediment metagenome) tRNA-Ala". It matches the Rfam family "tRNA". Rfam says of the family: Transfer RNA (tRNA) molecules are approximately 80 nucleotides in length. The record is from RNAcentral. Lineage: Bacteria; Bacillati; Chloroflexota. RNAcentral also lists the same sequence under 1 other name.